UUUUUUAUAAAUGUCUAAAGAUUUACUUUAAGAUUAUGAUUCUUUAAAUAAAACAAUAUGUGGUGCAAAUAGCAAUGGUUCUAGAUCCCAAAUAUAUUUACAAAGUCUAAAAAAUAAUUUUAUUUUAUAAAAACUAGUAAGUAAGAUAAAGUAGUACAAAAUAAUAAUAAAAAAGGGAAAGAAAAGAAUAAAAUAAAUAAAAAAGAAAAAAACAUAAAACAUACACAUAGUAGCAGCGGUGUCCAUUUGCAUAACCAGUAGCAUG
RNAcentral lists this long non-coding RNA (265 nucleotides) under Lathyrus oleraceus (garden pea). RNAcentral's name for it is "Pisum sativum (pea) long non-coding RNA (PSAT_LNC017259)". The record is from RNAcentral. Lineage: Eukaryota; Viridiplantae; Streptophyta; Magnoliopsida; Fabales; Fabaceae.